RNAcentral lists this long non-coding RNA (1898 nucleotides) under Nothobranchius furzeri (turquoise killifish). RNAcentral describes it as "lncRNA (ENSNFUG00015022413.1)". Lineage: Eukaryota; Metazoa; Chordata; Actinopteri; Cyprinodontiformes; Nothobranchiidae. The record is from RNAcentral.
AGGCGGCACACAGACAGAGACUGGGUCGGAACCCGGACAACCGCUGGUCCAUUUGCUAACGCGGCUAAAGGAAGCGAACCUUCAUCAGUUGACUUACAGGCCGCAGCCCGGUCCGACCCGUGUGGUGGUGGAGGGAGGGCUCUAGUGGACCACCGGACCGCUCUCCCUCCGGUUGUUCUGUCUCCCGGUGUCAGCAAGUUAUUGUGGUGCGUCUUAAGAAGGACCCCGACUCGGUUCGGCUGGAGGGCCAGAGCCAAGAUGUUGAUAGCUGCUGUCAACACAGCGACCGGAAGUUCCGGUGGCACAGGCAAGAAGCACAGAAGACGAUGCAAAAAACAUCGGAGACCUCGAGCUGAUGAACACACACACACACACACACACCACACACACACACACACACACACACACACACACACACACACACACACAGGAACCAUAUAGAUAAAUCCUGUAUCCUGCUUCUACAGGAAGUGACCUCAGAGCCCUACUCUGAAUUUGAUUAAUCUUUGAUUCAUCUUAAUUAAGAGUCUCCUGAUUACUGGCCCCUCACCGGCCCCUGACCAGUCCCUAACUGGUCUUGUGUGCCUGGAGGUAAAACUUAAUGAACUUUUUAAUGGGAAUCAAACGCCUCUGAACUGUAGUGACACUGACAGGAGCAGGUUCAGUGACUCAAACUGAUCCCGAAAUAGACCCAGAGACUAGGAUCAUGCACCCCGUCCCUCUACACACACACACACACACCAGCUCUACAUGACACCUCUGAGGAUCUCCUCAUCUGCAUUAAAAUAGACUGUGUGUGUGUGUGUGUGUGUGUGUGUGUGUGUGUGUGUGUGUGUGCGUGUGCGUGUGCAUGCGCAAAUCUCUUGACUUUAAUGUAAACCAAAACUCGACAGGAGGUUAAAGGAGACAUAUUCUGACUUUUUAUAAGUUAUAGUAGUUCUGUGGUCAGUGGCCACACCCACUAAUUCCUUCAUUGGCUGCUUUGAGGUGAGGGGCUCUGAGUAGAGCUGCUGCUACUCUAGAAUCUGCAGCCGAGGGGAGUUCUGUGCUAGUUUCACUUAUUGUGAUGUCACAAUCUGGAAAUUUUUGAAAUGGUUUUAGGCUAACAAGGUUUGAUAGAGGCAGCAGAGACCCCUCAUGGAAGCACAAAAUAAUGUGAGUUGUUUUCGUUUUUUUUUUUUAAUAAAAUGUCACAUUUAAAUCUGGUUAGCAGUGAUAUUCAGAAAACCUUCACAGAAACUGGUCAUUUUUUGACAAAAGUCAUAAACAGGAAGUAAUUUGUGGCAGUUAUUACUGCUGAGAGCGACAAUCUAAUGAUUGCAGAAACUUUUCUGAAUGGUCCGUCACGUUAUUUUUUGCCCCUUAUCCGAAGUCAGGUCGCGGGGGCAGUAGCCUAAGCAGGGAGACCCAGACUUUCCUUUCCCCAGCCACUUGGGCCAGCUCCUCGGGGGGAAUCCUAACGUGUUCCCUGGCCAGCCGUGAGACAGUCCCUUCAGCGUGUCCUGGGUCUUCCGUUAGGUCUUCUCCCGGUUGGACCUGCCCGGAAAACCUCACCAGAGAGGCAUCCUGACCAGAUGCCUGAGCCACCUCAACUGGCUUCUCUCGAUUAGGAGAAGCAACAGCUGCACUCCGAGCCCUUCCCGGAUGACUGAGCAUCUCACCCUAUCUCAAAGGGAGAGCCCAGCCACCCUGCGGAGAAAACUCAUCACAGCCGCUUGUAUGCGCAAUCUCAUUCUUUUGGUCACUACCCAAAGCUCAUGACCAUAGGUGAGGGUAGGAACGUAGAUCGACCGGUAAAUCGAGAGCUUCGCCUUAUGACUGAGCUCUCUUCACCACGACAGACUGGUACAACGCCCGCAUCACUGCAGAUGCAGCACCAAUCCGCCUAUCGAUCUCAU